UAGAAGGCCAAGAGACUGAAGUCCUGCAUUUUUUCACAGAACAGGUAGAACAUGGACAGCAGCAAUUCAACUUUUCCCCACACUGCCCUGCCAAUGUGCUUGGACCCUGACCUGGGGGGGCCUCCGAUGGGGUGAGAGGGUGGCUCAAUCAUUCAGUCCUUGGCCAUUCUUCUGAAACUACC
This 182-nucleotide small RNA is filed under the name Marmota monax (woodchuck). Lineage: Eukaryota; Metazoa; Chordata; Mammalia; Rodentia; Sciuridae. The record is from RNAcentral.